AACGAACGCUGGCGGCGUGCUUAACACAUGCAAGUCGAGCGAGAAAGGUACCUUCGGGUGCUGAGUAAAGCGGCGAACGGGUGAGUAACACGUGAGUAACGUACCUUUCAAUGGGGGAUAACAGUUUGAAAAGACUGCUAAUACCGCAUAAGACCACGACUUCUUAGGGAGAUGGGGUAAAAGGCUUCGGCCGUUGAAAGAUCGGCUCGCGGCCCAUUAGAUAGUUGGUGAGGUAAUGGCUCACCAAGUCAGAGAUGGGUAGCUGGUCUGAGAGGAUGAUCAGCCACACUGGGACUGAGACACGGCCCAGACUCCUACGGGAGGCAGCAGUGGGGAAUCUUGCGCAAUGGACGAAAGUCUGACGCAGCAACGCCGCGUGUGUGAUGAAGGCUUUCGGGUCGUAAAGCACUGUCAGGAGGGAAGAAGAAAGUGACGGUACCUCCAAAGGAAGCACCGGCUAACUCCGUGCCAGCAGCCGCGGUAAUACGGAGGGUGCAAGCGUUGUUCGGAAUUAUUGGGCGUAAAGCGCGCGCAGGCGGCUUGCCAAGUCCGAUGUGAAAGCCCAGGGCUCAACCUUGGAUGUGCAUUGGAAACUGGCAGGCUUGAGUAUGUGAGGGGUCAGUGGAAUUCCUGGUGUAGGAGUGAAAUCCGUAGAGAUCAGGAGGAACACCAGUGGCGAAGGCGACUGACUGGAACAUAACUGACGCUGAGGCGCGAAAGCGUGGGUAGCAAACAGGAUUAGAUACCCUGGUAGUCCACGCCGUAAACGAUGUUCACUAGCUGCUGUGUCCUUAGAUGAUGCAGUGGCGUAGCUAACGCGUUAAGUGAACCGCCUGGGGAGUACGGCCG
RNAcentral lists this ribosomal RNA (849 nucleotides) under uncultured bacterium. Its description in RNAcentral is "bacterial SSU rRNA". It matches the Rfam family "Bacterial small subunit ribosomal RNA", at positions 28 to 888 of the family's 1533-position model. The record is from RNAcentral.